UGAGGAAUAUUGGACAAUGGGCGAGAGCCUGAUCCAGCCAUGCCGCGUGCAGGAAGACUGCCCUAUGGGUUGUAAACUGCUUUUAUACAGGAAGAAACACUCCCUCGUGAGGGAGCUUGACGGUACUGUAAGAAUAAGGAUCGGCUAACUCCGUGCCAGCAGCCGCGGUAAUACGGAGGAUCCAAGCGUUAUCCGGAAUCAUUGGGUUUAAAGGGUCCGUAGGUGGAUAAUUAAGUCAGGGGUGAAAGUCUGCAGCUCAACUGUAGAAUUGCCUUUGAUACUGGUUAUCUUGAAUUAUUAUGAAGUAGUUAGAAUAUGUAGUGUAGCGGUGAAAUGCAUAGAUAUUACAUAGAAUACCAAUUGCGAAGGCAGAUUACUAAUAAUAUAUUGACACUGAUGGACGAAAGCGUGGGGAGCGAACA
This 422-nucleotide ribosomal RNA is filed under the name uncultured bacterium. RNAcentral's name for it is "bacterial SSU rRNA". It matches the Rfam family "Bacterial small subunit ribosomal RNA", at positions 355 to 774 of the family's 1533-position model. The record is from RNAcentral.